Molecule: ribosomal RNA, 713 nt
Filed under: Salmonella enterica subsp. enterica serovar Bovismorbificans
Lineage: Bacteria; Pseudomonadati; Pseudomonadota; Gammaproteobacteria; Enterobacterales; Enterobacteriaceae
Description: partial 23S ribosomal RNA
Rfam family: Bacterial large subunit ribosomal RNA
Source: RNAcentral
GGGCGUUAAGUUGCAGGGUAUAGACCCGAAACCCGGUGAUCUAGCCAUGGGCAGGUUGAAGGUUGGGUAACACUAACUGGAGGACCGAACCGACUAAUGUUGAAAAAUUAGCGGAUGACCUGUGGCUGGGGGUGAAAGGCCAAUCAAACCGGGAGAUAGCUGGUUCUCCCCGAAAGCUAUUUAGGUAGCGCCUCGUGAAUUCAUCUCCGGGGGUAGAGCACUGUUUCGGCUAGGGGGCCAUCCCGGCUUACCAACCCGAUGCAAACUGCGAAUACCGGAGAAUGUUAUCACGGGAGACACACGGCGGGUGCUAACGUCCGUCGUGAAGAGGGAAACAACCCAGACCGCCAGCUAAGGUCCCAAAGUCAUGGUUAAGUGGGAAACGAUGUGGGAAGGCCCAGACAGCCAGGAUGUUGGCUUAGAAGCAGCCAUCAUUUAAAGAAAGCGUAAUAGCUCACUGGUCGAGUCGGCCUGCGCGGAAGAUGUAACGGGGCUAAACCAUGCACCGAAGCUGCGGCAGCGACGUUUAUGCGUUGUUGGGUAGGGGAGCGUUCUGUAAGCCUGCGAAGGUGGCCUGUGAGGGUUGCUGGAGGUAUCAGAAGUGCGAAUGCUGACAUAAGUAACGAUAAAGCGGGUGAAAAGCCCGCUCGCCGGAAGACCAAGGGUUCCUGUCCAACGUUAAUCGGGGCAGGGUGAGUCGACCCCUAAGGCGA